CACGUAGGAGGCGAGCGUUGUCCGGAAUCAUUGAGCGUAAAGAGCGCGCAGGCGGCUUGGCAAGUCGGGUGUGAAAUCCCGAGGCUCAACCUCGGGUCUGCAUCCGAUACUGCCCGGCUAGAGGUAGGUAGGGGAGAUCGGAAUUCCUGGUGUAGCGGUGAAAUGCGCAGAUAUCAGGAGGAACACCGGUGGCGAAGGCGGAUCUCUGGGCCUUACCUGACGCUCAGGCGCGAAAGCUAGGGGAGCGAACUGG
This 253-nucleotide ribosomal RNA is filed under the name uncultured bacterium. Its description in RNAcentral is "partial 16S ribosomal RNA". It matches the Rfam family "Bacterial small subunit ribosomal RNA", at positions 524 to 776 of the family's 1533-position model. The record is from RNAcentral.